GAGCCCGCACAAGCAGCGGAGCGUGUGGUUUAAUUCGAUGCUACACGAAGAACCUUACCUGGGUUUGACAUGUAUGUAGUAGGGAAGCGAAAGCCGACCGACCCGCAAGGGAGCAUACACAGGUGCUGCAUGGCUGUCGUCAGCUCGUGCCGUGAGGUGUUGGGUUAAGUCCUCUAACGAGCGCAACCCUCGUUGCCAGUUAUACUUUUCUGGCGAGACUGCCGGGAUAUAACCGGAGGAAGGUGGGGAUGAAGUCAAGUCAGCAUGGCCUUUAUAUCCAGGGCUACACACACGCUACAAUGGUCGGUACAGAGGGAAGCCAAGCCGCGAGGCGGAGCUAAUCUCACAAAGCCGGCCUCAGUUCAGAUUGCAGGCUGCAACCCGCCUGCAUGAAGUCGGAGUUGCUAGUAACCGCAGGUCAGAAUACUGCGGUGAAUACGUUCCCGGGCUUU
RNAcentral lists this ribosomal RNA (452 nucleotides) under uncultured bacterium. RNAcentral describes it as "bacterial SSU rRNA". It matches the Rfam family "Bacterial small subunit ribosomal RNA", at positions 917 to 1382 of the family's 1533-position model. The record is from RNAcentral.